Molecule: long non-coding RNA, 605 nt
Organism: Glycine soja
Lineage: Eukaryota; Viridiplantae; Streptophyta; Magnoliopsida; Fabales; Fabaceae
Exons: 3
Source: RefSeq, a predicted model, not a curated record
UUUGAGGUUGGUGCAGUGCUUGAGGAUGCAAAUUGGCAGGCUCCAGUGAAUUGUUUUGAUGAGAAUGACAAGGAAAAGAAUAUCCCCAUUUUGGGAUCUGCUGUUCGUGGUGGUUCUCUUGGGAGUUAUGACGUAGGCUCUGCCACUUGGGCAGACCUUAGGAAAGCACCCCUCCAAAGUGCAAUGGAAGUCACUUACAUUUGUGUCCACUUUGUUUUAAAAGAACUUGUGCGGAAGUCAAUUUCAGAAACUGAGGUCAGCAAUGUUUCAGCAAUGUCCCAACAAUGUUUUCAGAAACGGAAGUCAAUUUUAGUGCACCGUUAUUUGAGACUAAAUAUGGUGGAUUAUCUACUAUCUAUAUUGAAAAUCGUCACAUGGCUUAUUAAUUAGAAAGGUGUCAGUCACAAUUCCCUCGGGUGAUUAAUUGGAAAACUAACAUAUAAGGGAAGGCAUGUGUUUAACCUGUACUAUGUAGUUUGUUGAUGAUUGUAAUUUGUAAUAAGUGUUGCCUAUUUUGAGUCUUAACAUAAUUUUUCAAAUGUCACUCCUGUAGCUUCAGCAUUGGAAUCUGGAAGCUUUCAUUCUCUUGUUGAUGAAAAGUUGAU